CACGCCGUAAACGAUGAAUACUAGGUGUAGGAGGUAUCGACCCCUUCUGUGCCGCAGUUAACACAAUAAGUAUUCCGCCUGGGGAGUACGGUCGCAAGAUUAAAACUCAAAGGAAUUGACGGGGGCCCGCACAAGCAGCGGAGCAUGUGGUUUAAUUCGAAGCAACGCGAAGAACCUUACCAGGUCUUGACAUCCCAGUGACCACUCUAGAGAUAGAGUUUUCCCUUCGGGGACAUUGGUGACAGGUGG
This 249-nucleotide ribosomal RNA is filed under the name uncultured bacterium. RNAcentral describes it as "partial 16S ribosomal RNA". It matches the Rfam family "Bacterial small subunit ribosomal RNA", at positions 796 to 1041 of the family's 1533-position model. The record is from RNAcentral.